Molecule: ribosomal RNA, 253 nt
Filed under: uncultured bacterium
Lineage: Bacteria
Description: partial 16S ribosomal RNA
Rfam family: Bacterial small subunit ribosomal RNA
Source: RNAcentral
UACGGGGGGGGCAAGCGUUGUUCGGAAUUACUGGGCGUAAAGGGCUCGUAGGCGGCCAACUAAGUCAGACGUGAAAUCCCUCGGCUUAACCGGGGAACUGCGUCUGAUACUGGAUGGCUUGAGAUUGGGAGAGGGAUGCGGAAUUCCAGGUGUAGCGGUGAAAUGCGUAGAUAUCUGGAGGAACACCGGUGGCGAAGGCGGCAUCCUGGACCAACACUGACGCUGAGGAGCGAAAGCAUGGGGAGCGAACAGG